Molecule: long non-coding RNA, 1346 nt
Filed under: Sus scrofa (pig)
Lineage: Eukaryota; Metazoa; Chordata; Mammalia; Artiodactyla; Suidae
Description: lncRNA (ENSSSCG00040074381.1)
Source: RNAcentral
AGGGAGAGUGGAGUCGGGCUGAGGAGGAACCCCCCCUGAGCAACUCGGAGCCUGUGCCUCGUCACACGCUCUGUGUCUCUCUGUCCCGCUGCCUCUGAGGACUGGGCGAGUCACCUCAACGGCUGGGGACCAUGGGAGGUGGCAGCACAACCCCGAGCCUCACGGCCCUUCUCUGCCUCGGGCUGUGCUGGCGCCCAUGGGACCAGGUCCAGGCAAGUGAGUCCCCCAGACCUCCUGCUUCCACCCAACCAGCCUUCUGUCCUGGGGGAGGGGGGCACAGCGGGUGGGGCUGAUGGUGACCAGGCUGGGAGGGCCCUGGGGAGACAGGCCGAAGGAGAAGGGCACCCUGACACUCCAGGUCUGAUUCCUUUCCAGGGGUCCUUCCCAAACCCUCCAUCCGGGCUGACCCGGGACCCACUGUCCCAAGGGGAGCCCUGUGACCCUCUGGUGUCAGGGGUCCCCACAGGCUGAUGUCUACCGUCUGUAUAAAGUGGGGGACUCUGGACUCUGGGAGGAUGAAGCCACACAGGACUCCAGGAACACAGCCCGGUUCCACUUUGAAUCCUUGAGCUCCCGCCAUGCAGGGCGGUACCAGUUUACUUAUCAGAGCAGGAACAGCUCGUCCAGGCGGAGUGACCCCCUGGCCCUCGUGGUGACAGGUAAGAGGGAGGACCCGGGUCCCUCCCACCCGGGGCUCCUCCUCACAGGCAGGGGGAGCAGACUGUGGGCUCAGAGGGCCUGAACCCCACAGCCCACAGCUGGGGAUUGGGGUGAAGGCCCCCCUUUAAUACCAUCCUCCUGCCCCCUCAGGACUGUACACAGCACCCUCCCUCUCAGCCCACCCGAGCCCCAUGGUGGCAUCAGGAGGGAACGUGUCCCUCUCCUGUAGCUCACAGUUCUGGUCAGGCAUACUACACCUGCUGAAGGAGGGAGGCGCUGACGCACCCUGACGUAGCGGGUGGAGGAAAUUCGGGAACUCGGGAGGGAGGCAGACCCUCUUCCCUGUGGGCCCCGUGAACGCCUCCCACGGGGGCACCUACAGAUGCUAUGAUUCCCCCAGCUCCCAUCAAUACGUGUGGUCAUGGCCCAGUGACCCUCUGCAUCUCCAGGUCAAAGGUGUGGGCACUCAGACCCAUCUAUUUCCUGGACCCUUGAUCUAAGCUUGGUGCCCAGUGGAGUCCUGGGGCUAAGGGGGCACCAGGGAAGGGACUCACAUGAGAUUCGCAGGGGAACUAUGAGCGGGAGGCUUUGGGGCGACCUAAGUGAACUCUCCCUGCAGCCCCAGGGAACAAUGUGGGGGGCACGUCCCUCAGGGCCACCGCCCCUGCCUCCCCAGGUGUGUACAG